ACUCCUACGGGAGGCAGCAGUGGGGAAUAUUGCACAAUGGGCGCAAGCCUGAUGCAGCAACGCCGCGUGAGGGACGACGGCCUUCGGGUUGUAAACCUCUUUUAGCAGGGAAGAAGCGAAAGUGACGGUACCUGCAGAAAAAGCGCCGGCUAACUACGUGCCAGCAGCCGCGGUAAUA
RNAcentral lists this ribosomal RNA (178 nucleotides) under uncultured bacterium. RNAcentral describes it as "partial 16S ribosomal RNA". It matches the Rfam family "Bacterial small subunit ribosomal RNA", at positions 335 to 525 of the family's 1533-position model. The record is from RNAcentral.